Molecule: ribosomal RNA, 465 nt
Filed under: Vreelandella stevensii
Lineage: Bacteria; Pseudomonadati; Pseudomonadota; Gammaproteobacteria; Oceanospirillales; Halomonadaceae
Description: partial 16S ribosomal RNA
Rfam family: Bacterial small subunit ribosomal RNA
Source: RNAcentral
CCUACGGGGGGCUGCAGUGGGGAAUAUUGGACAAUGGGGGCAACCCUGAUCCAGCCAUGCCGCGUGUGUGAAGAAGGCCCUCGGGUUGUAAAGCACUUUCAGUGAGGAAGAACGCCUGGUGGUUAAUACCCAUCAGGAAAGACAUCACUCACAGAAGAAGCACCGGCUAACUCCGUGCCAGCAGCCGCGGUAAUACGGAGGGUGCGAGCGUUAAUCGGAAUUACUGGGCGUAAAGCGCGCGUAGGUGGCUUGAUAAGCCGGUUGUGAAAGCCCCGGGCUCAACCUGGGAACGGCAUCCGGAACUGUCAAGCUAGAGUGCAGGAGAGGAAGGUAGAAUUCCCGGUGUAGCGGUGAAAUGCGUAGAGAGCGGGAGGAAUACCAGUGGCGAAGGCGGCCUUCUGGACUGACACUGCCACUGAGGUGCGAAAGCGUGGGUAGCAAACAGGAUUAGAUACCCUGGUAGUC